UGGCGGAGGUUGGGAGUCCCUGCUUUGACUCUGUUUGCAAACUCUUGUUUCAUUGUUUAAGCGAUUAAAUCUCUUGAGUAGACGCUGUCUCUUUAGAUGCAAUGGCAAAAUAGCACUUUAUGGACUUACACAGAGGACAUCAUGUUUAAUACGGUUCCGGAAAAAUCAGUCAGAAGUUGCUCACGGAGUUUUCACAAUAACUGCUGCUCAUGAUGAACCGAAGCUGCGCGACGUCUCCUGCUGAAAGUUGGAUUACUGUGCACUUCUGGAUCACAGGCUAUUCGCAGCUGGACACAUCCUUCUACACUGUAUGCAAACAUGCAACAUCAUUACACACAGUACAAGGAGUCAGACUGGCAUAUGAGGAGCAAAGGAACCCAGGCAGUAGCAUCGUUUCACAAUGUUUCCAUCACCAUCAUCAGUGGAUGCCUUUGCCGUCCGUAGCCUGAGAUUUCAGAUUUGCAGCAAAAAAUGUGACUUUCCCAUUUAUUGGAAUGCUGUGCAGCCAUCCAUUACAAUGUCACCAAGCCGUAACAAAAGCAGGAGAGGGAAAGUACAAGGCUAUGUUCCCAAAACACACAAGUGACAUACUUUAUGUGGAUGAUGUGAUCAGGCUUGUGUUUGCUGAGGUAUUUGAAGAUAAGCUGAAGGAAACCCCGAUUCCAAUGGACCUGGCAUCAGUUUGAGAGACCUUCAAAGGAGGACGUGAUUGCAUGCCAUCUUCAGUGCAGGGGUCGUCGGAAGCCAAAAUUGUGACCGAUCAGAUCAGGAAGCUCCAAGCAUAUCUGGAGAACAACACACGACAGGAUGAUAACCUUAUAGUGUCGUCUUAAAUAGCACCAGCUGACAAAGCUUUGAUAUGCCAUUUAUCUGAAUAGAUAGCUGUAAGAAAUGAAUUGAACAAUUUUUGAAAGACGAGCACAACAUGGUUACUAAAGUAUGUUUAUUUGUAUAUUGUUUAACAUUUAAAUAUAUAUUUGUAAUAAAUAAACUUUUGACUAACUACUA
Molecule: long non-coding RNA, 1008 nt
Organism: Paramisgurnus dabryanus
Lineage: Eukaryota; Metazoa; Chordata; Actinopteri; Cypriniformes; Cobitidae
Source: RefSeq, a predicted model, not a curated record